ACAUGCAAGUCGAACGGCAGCGCGGGGGCAACCCUGGCGGCGAGUGGCGAACGGGUGAGUAAUACAUCGGAACGUGUCCUGGAGUGGGGGAUAGCCCGGCGAAAGCCGGAUUAAUACCGCAUACGAUCUCUGGAUGAAAGCGGGGGACCGAAAGGCCUCGCGCUCAAGGGGCGGCCGAUGGCAGAUUAGCUAGUUGGUGGGGUAAAGGCCUACCAAGGCGACGAUCUGUAGCUGGUCUGAGAGGACGACCAGCCACACUGGGACUGAGACACGGCCCAGACUCCUACGGGAGGCAGCAGUGGGGAAUUUUGGACAAUGGGGGCAACCCUGAUCCAGCAAUGCCGCGUGUGUGAGGAAGGCCUUCGGGUUGUAAAGCACUUUUGUCCGGAAAGAAAACCUCCGUCCUAAUACGGUGGGGGGAUGACGGUACCGGAAGAAUAAGCACCGGCUAACUACGUGCCAGCAGCCGCGGUAAUACGUAGGGUGCAAGCGUUAAUCGGAAUUACUGGGCGUAAAGCGUGCGCAGGCGGUUCGCUAAGACCGAUGUGAAAUCCCCGGGCUUAACCUGGGAACUGCAUUGGUGACUGGCGGGCUAGAGUAUGGCAGAGGGGGGUAGAAUUCCACGUGUAGCAGUGAAGUGCGUAGAGAUGUGGAGGAAUACCGAUGGCGAAGGCAGCCCCCUGGGCCAAUACUGACGCUCAUGCACGAAAGCGUGGGGAGCAAACAGGAUUAGAUACCCCUGGUAGUCCACGCCCCUAAACGAUGUCAACUAGUUGUCGGGGUCUUCAUUGACUUGGGUAACGAAGCUAACGCGUGAAGUUGACCGCCUGGGG
RNAcentral lists this ribosomal RNA (833 nucleotides) under uncultured Burkholderia sp. RNAcentral's name for it is "bacterial SSU rRNA". It matches the Rfam family "Bacterial small subunit ribosomal RNA", at positions 53 to 878 of the family's 1533-position model. The record is from RNAcentral. Lineage: Bacteria; Pseudomonadati; Pseudomonadota; Betaproteobacteria; Burkholderiales; Burkholderiaceae.